UAGUUUUGUGUAACGCACGACCAUCUCAAAAGAAGAGAUUUAGUUUUUAAACACUACAAGGUUAAAAUGAUGACCAGUCGUGCCUCUCUUUCUCCUCCAUGUAUCCAGCAACUCUCACAUCUUGCCCGGUGAUAUCUCCGUAUCAAGCUGGUUUCCAAAUCAAUCUGCCAAAUCGCUUCGCCUCGCCUCGCACAAUUGAUUUUUUGCAGAUCUCUGUGUAAACUACCCAGAGCAGCCACAGGUCAAUGGAUGCAAAGUAACGAGAUUGAGAUGAUGAGAUCGAUAUGCCCUAGCAAAUACAACAAGGAUACCACCGGAUAGUUAUAUAUGGACGAGGAACAAAGAAAAAGCAACGGGACCGUGCUUUCCGCAAUACUUAUAUGCUAGAUGAUUGUCUUCUUUUCUAAAAAAAAGUUGAUAGUCAGAGACAACUAAAAUAGUUAUCACCGAUCUUCGAAGUACCGUUGGCAUCCAAGUUCGAGAGACAGUGGGCAAGAACAUGAGCAUCAUCAUGUGCGCUAUAUUCAUCCACGUCGGCGUCAUGAUGGUCCAGAAUGUGAAUAACAUUAGCGGCCGUCACUCAGCAACCUAAAGAUUGUGCUGGCAGCGUGCACAUUGGAUUUGCAACCAUUUGCGAGGUCGACCAGAGCAGCUUGCAGUCACAUCCUCGGCAGGGCCUUGGUCCUCCGUUUUAGUCUCAUGGUUGGAGCCGUCCCUAGAGAUUGAAGCCGCCACCGUAGGAAGAAUAGCGUUGGCCGCAACCAAAAGUCCUGUGGGGAGCAGUCGCUAGAUCGACGCUGGGGAAGCACGAGCACGUGCAUGACUGGGUGGAAGCAAUUGGCAACAUGCAAGCCUCCACGACCUUGCCGACUCCGUUCUACAACUCCCUACACUCCAGCGUUGUCCAAAUCGAACGCUGAUAUUGGACACCUCAAAGAUGAGAAGUCUCGGGUACUAUGGAGAAAUGAGUCUUCAUUAUUUUUUCCGUGAAGAAAUGAGGGAUAUGAAUACAAGAAAUUGUUGCAUGUACAUAUGAUUGACACACAUGUAGAUAAUAAAAAAUAAACAUGUGCUAGCAACAGUGCGAAUGUACAUUGUGUCCAUGUUAGAUGUAAAUAGCAUGGAUAUUUAGUGUAAAAGUUUUUUCUAACCCAAGUCAAAUAUGCAUGCACAUGUAUAUGUACUCACACAUAUUAAAAUAUCAUGUAAUAGGAAAUGCACCAUAUUUC
Lolium perenne is the source of this 1229-nucleotide long non-coding RNA. RefSeq lists it as uncharacterized. Lineage: Eukaryota; Viridiplantae; Streptophyta; Magnoliopsida; Poales; Poaceae. The record is from RefSeq and is a predicted model, not a curated record.